ACAAUGUCAUGGUCGGCAAGCCGACUCAGCAAAAUCUUAGGCAAUAACGGAAACUCUCGCAGCAAAACAAAAGUGUCCGGUUACCGCCGCUGACCAUUGCAGUUAUAGCGCGCUGAUACAAAGUAUGCAGUGUCGUAAUUGCGAGGGCUGUUCCUUAACUUAUGAAGCACGCGAUAGCGAGGGUUGAUUAUAAACUUAUGAAAUAUCCUAUAUUAAGUGUUAUGUGUUAACUACCGGCGACGACUUCUCGUAACUGCUUCGCAGACUCCAAUGCGUCGAUGAUCCGCAAAAGAGUGAGGCCAAUGCAGAUUAAAGCACAGCAUAUGGCUCCAAUGAUGAAUGCCACACGAUAAGCUUGAUCAGUUCCGGCGUCUUUUUUGAAUUGCUGUAUCACCUCCAAAUUACGUUCACUCAAACGAUAAAGGUAAGGGAGGCUGAGGACAUCUUGGCUGGCAGUGAUGUUCAGCAAGGGAGAAUUGGCAAUACCCGGGACUCUAUUGCGUACGUUGUUGUGAUUGUAAAACAGAGUCCCGUUAAUUGCGACUCGGUCUCCGAACGUGAUGAGAUGCGUGCCUUGUACCUGGAUCUCAGUGCCGUUGUCCACCUGAAUCCUUGCGGACCCGUCGUUGAGGAUGAUGAUUCCGUCAACUACGUGGGUGAUUAUUUCCACGUUGCUCGGCUGGAUCUCGCAAUGUGCCGUUCCACCUGCAUGGAGCUCUUUGGCACAUGAACUCUCUAAUGCCAGACGACAAAAUGUGGCUCCAGGUGAAGCGGCGCAACUCAGCAGUAUGUGGGUUUCUCCAUCGCAUUCGGCUAUGACGUUGUCAAACAAUCGCAAUAUGAAGUUCGUGUGGACGACACGAUAAAUCGUAAUUUUUCUGCAAGCUUUCUUAAUCUUUGGAAAUUUAAUUAUAAAAUGUAUAGUGUUAAUGGAUUAAAGAACUUUUACGGACGCAACGGACAUAAGAUCUCCUAUGGGAGUGUUGGUGGGUUCCUCUAGCCAAAUUGAUUUCAAAUCUCAGUGGUCCAAAAUGCUAGCCUUCAAUGUUAGCCUUCGCAUGAGUAAUAGCAAGCAUUAAAUUUUGUAACUCCAUCAUCAGCAUUCUUUUUCUAGUCAUGGCUAAUAAAUGGCUAGUGUCAACUUGUGAGUUUUUGGUUAUCUUGAGAACUUUAUUGACAGUGAUUGGUAACUGGUAAAGCUGGUCUUGAACUCUAGUGUUUAUUUCUAUUUGCCUAUUGUUAGCAUUUGUGUCUUUCUAAAAAUGUUUUUAUUUCACCUUUCCCAACUUUCACUGAGAAAAUACAUAAGUGUUUUGUGAAGAAGAACGUACAAUAAGAUAUUAAAGAGGUGUAUUCUGUGAAGGUGAUAUUUCGCUGUGUGGUGCCCUACCAGGUAGGCGAACAACAGUUUAAGCCAUCUCUUCUCUUCACAAUUGCUGUAGUUGUUGCCAUUUUCCGAGGCCCUGCAGAAGAAUUUACGAGACCCUUUAUAUAUAUUAGCAAAUAUGGAUGCAGAACAGGCUUUAUGUGGCAAUCUUUUUCACGUGUAAACACAAUAGAGUGAGCCCAAUUUUAUGGCAGUGGCUCGUAACCAACCAGGAGCGGCGUGAGUUGCCCCUGAUUAGGCAAGUCCAGAAAACAUGUGUAGAUUUAGUUAACGUAUUGUCUCGAUAGUGGGUCUGUUAUCCAGAAGUACUAUAAAGAUUUGACCAAUAUCAUCUAGGUACUAUUUAGAAAAGAUCACAAUAUUUUUCAUUUAAUGUUGAGGCCUUGGUAACAAGCACCUGCAGUUUCCGCAUUCUCUUCUGGAGCUUGUUUACCUCUAAUAUGUUCAGCGCCUAGCACACCGACUUUGGUCACAGCUCAUUGAAGGAUCUCGAUAGCUAUCCCGACGACUGUUCGUAUUGUCUCCUUGUCUUUUUCCAGGAUGGUUUACCGCGCAAGAUCACGCACGUAUUUAUACACCCAAUAUGGCCAGAAUUGACUGAUGAACAGUUGUCUGUCUUCCGUCGUAGGUACCUAAUAGCAGCUGCGAAAUUCGGUGGUGCGUGCGCAGCAACUUUUAUAAAUUAGUAUCCAGUAGCAUAUAAGCUUUUUACCUGAAUAAUAUAGCUCACACCUGUAAGUUAUGUGAUUUUUUCAAUUGUAGAUGUUGAUGAUGAUUCAGACCCUCGUCACAAGUGCUGAGAUUGGUAAACUUGUAGAUUAUGUUCGGAAAGCAACUAGCCUUCCAAAUCACUGACCUUGUGGCUCAGCAAUGAAACAACUAGUAACGGACUGAUAACGGCAAGUGCCGGAGCAGUAUAUUUGAAGAAGUUGUUCCUACAAAGUUGGUUACAAACCAAACUAGAAUUAAAACAUUGAAUUAGAUCUGAACCCUAAGGCUAGGCGCAUAAGUCUUAGCUACUAUAUCCGGCAAGCCGAUUGGGCAUACUCCAACACUGUCGCUUGCGGCAUAGGCAAGUGUCAGGUUACCGCUGCUGGCCGCAGUGGCCGGGCACUGAACUCGUAGCUCAGCAGAAUGUCGCAGUAAAGCAAAGUGCCCUACAACAUUCUUGCGUUCUUAUAAACAAAAGUGUGUUCUUAUGACAUAAAUAUGAAGUGCAAUUCUUAUGUGUUGACUACUCCUCUCUCAAGCUUUUGACCGUUCCCGGUUAUUUUAUAGCUGUUAAUGGUUUUUAUUCCACCUUCUGUACUUCCUUCGAUGCUUGCCUUCUCUUUACAAUUUGCCAAACGAUGUGAAAGCCAAUGCCAACGACACUGAGGAUGAUGCCUGCUGCAAUCCAAAUCUUAUGAGACCCAGAGGCCUUCAAUUCGUCCUCGAAACUUCUGAUGACGCGCAAAUUGCGGUUGUUCAUCCUUUGUAGUUGGGGCAUGCUUAGCACUGGAUCGUGGCUGAUGAUGCUGAGUAGAGGCGACCCUGCCACUUCUGGCGAUCGGGCUAACAUCUCGCGCUGGUUUACAUAUUUUGUGCCGUUGAUUAUGGCCGAAGAAAGGAAUGUGGGGAGGUGUGUCUAGUUUGUAGUAAUCUCUGGACUAUCGUCUGUGCUGACCUUGGCAGCACUCUCAUUGAUAAUGAUAAUACCGUCAUCGACUUGUGUGGUGGGCUUUAGGUGGUGCGUGCGGCAAAGGGCUGUGCUGCCGGCGUCUAGUGCUUGUGCGUAGGUGUCUUGCGCUGCCAAUUUACAGACGGCGGCGUAGGUCGUCGUUACUCAUUCAUUGACCGCUAGAAUGUCAUUGUCGCAUUCGGCUAUUGUAUCAUCUUGUAGCUGUAGUGUGACGUGUUGGUGUGCCACCGGAAAGAUGGUGAUUUUCUUGCAAAAGAGCUUGACCCUUGGAUACGCUAUUAAUAUAUGGACAAUGUUCUCGGACUGAAGAACCUUGAUUUUAGACGCUUCGGUUGGGUUAACUAUGGGAAUUUCGACAGGAUGUUUAUUUAUAAUUGAUUUCAAAUCAUCGUGGUCAAAUAUUGUGGGGUUUAUUAUACCCGCUUUGGCUAGUGUAAUUCACUAUAUCUUACACGAUUUGGGUCGAGCAGUUCGAAAGCAGCACCACGAACAGUUCGAAAGCAGCACCACGCUUAGACAUAGCAGCGAGUAAACGGUUUAUUGCUGCAGAAAUGCACACACCAUUUGUAGAUAUGGAAGAUAUAUGCAAGCUCAAUAUAUGCGUAGCCUGACGGAGGCAAGCGCCUCCAAUCUCCAAUAAUCUUGGAACAUGAAAAUCGUUAAAUAAAAAAUAUGUUUAAGUAACACAAAGGUUAACCCCGUAAAAUAACAGUGUUGACUCUUAAAUGGUCUUACAAACAAUAUACAAAUAUAUUGCUGUAUAUACUAUAUAUUACGCAGGAAUAUGUUGCUAGAUUAAUAUAAUUGCGGAUAGGUUGCAAUUGAAUUUAGAAUAAAGAACGCGGAAUGAAAUGUUUUCUGU
Molecule: non-coding RNA, 3930 nt
Organism: Drosophila virilis
Lineage: Eukaryota; Metazoa; Arthropoda; Insecta; Diptera; Drosophilidae
Source: RefSeq, a predicted model, not a curated record